RNAcentral lists this ribosomal RNA (1033 nucleotides) under Capoeta umbla. RNAcentral's name for it is "partial large subunit ribosomal RNA". The stretch from base 1 to 509 matches the Rfam family "Bacterial small subunit ribosomal RNA", at positions 798 to 1533 of the family's 1533-position model. The record is from RNAcentral. Lineage: Eukaryota; Metazoa; Chordata; Actinopteri; Cypriniformes; Cyprinidae.
AGUCGUAAACUUAGACAUCCAACUACAAUUAGAUGUCCGCCAGGGUACUACGAGCAUUAGCUUAAAACCCAAAGGACCUGACGGUGUCUCAGAUCCCCCUAGAGGAGCCUGUUCUAGAACCGAUAACCCCCGUUUAACCUCACCACUUCUAGCCACCCCAGCCUAUAUACCGCCGUCGUCAGCUUACCCUGUGAAGGAAACAAAAGUAAGCAAAAUGGGCACAACCCAGAACGUCAGGUCGAGGUGUAGCGCAUGAAAUGGAAAGAAAUGGGCUACAUUUUCUGUAACAGAAUAUUACGAACAUGCACCAUGAAACAGUGCUUGAAGGAGGAUUUAGUAGUAAAAGGGAAAUAGAGUGUCCCUUUGAACCCGGCUCUGAGACGCGUACACACCGCCCGUCACUCUCCCCGUCAAAACGCACCAAAAUACCUAAUACAAUAGCACUGACAAGGGGAGGCAAGUCGUAACACGGUAAGUGUACCGGAAGGUGCACUUGGAUCAAACCCAGGGCGUGGCUGAGUUAGUCAAGCAUCUCACUUACACCGAGAAGACAUCCAUGCAAAUUGGAUCACCCUGAGCCAAACAGCUAGCUUAAUCACCAAAUAAAUGAACAAUAUAAAUAAAACCAAAUAAACUAAACACAGAAACUAAACCAUUCUUUUACCUGAGUAUGGGAGACAGAAAAGGUUACACCAAAGCGAUAGAAACAGUACCGCAAGGGAAGGCUGAAAGAGAAGUGAAAAAACCCAUAUAAGCACAAAAAAGCAAAGAUUAAAACUUGUACCUUUUGCAUCAUGAUUUAGCCAGUACACCCAAGCAAAGAGACCUUUAGUUUGAAACCCCGAAACCAGGUGAGCUACCCCGAGACAGCCUAUUAAGGGCCAACCCGUCUCUGUGGCAAAAGAGUGGGAAGAGCUCCGGGUAGAAGUGACAGACCUACCGAACCUGGUGAUAGCUGGUUGCCUAAGAAAUGAAUAGAAGUUCAGCCUCGUACCCCCCCAAGUCAAAGUAGCACAAACAGAACACAGAGAGA